AUUGACCUCGGAUCAGGUAGGGCCCGCUGAACUUAAGCAUAUCAAUAAGCGGAGGAA
RNAcentral lists this ribosomal RNA (57 nucleotides) under Xanthoria aureola. RNAcentral's name for it is "partial 28S ribosomal RNA". Lineage: Eukaryota; Fungi; Ascomycota; Lecanoromycetes; Teloschistales; Teloschistaceae. The record is from RNAcentral.